RNAcentral lists this ribosomal RNA (468 nucleotides) under uncultured bacterium. RNAcentral's name for it is "partial 16S ribosomal RNA". It matches the Rfam family "Bacterial small subunit ribosomal RNA", at positions 28 to 507 of the family's 1533-position model. The record is from RNAcentral.
GACGAACGCUGGCGGUGUGCUUAACACAUGCAAGUCGAACGGUAAGGCCCUUUCGGGGGUCCACGAGUGGCGAACGGGUGAGUAACACGUGAGUAACCUGCCCUCAUCUCUGGGAUAACAGUCGGAAACGGUUGCUAAUACUGGAUAUGAGCUUGCAAGGCAUCUUGUGGGUUGGAAAGAUUUUUUUUGGUUGGGGAUGGACUCGCGGCCUAUCAGCUUGUUGGUGAGGUAGUGGCUCACCAAGGCUUCGACGGUUAGCCGGCCUGAGAGGGCGACCGGCCACAUUGUGACUGAGAUACGGCCCAAACUCCUACGGGAGGCAGCAGUGGGGAAUAUUGCACAAUGGACGGAAGUCUGAUGCAGCAACGCCGCGUGCGGGAUGACGGCCUUCGGGUUGUAAACCGCUUUCAAUUGUGACGAAGCUUUUUUGUGACGGUAGCAGUAGAAGAAGCACCGGCUAACUACGUG